This 1642-nucleotide ribosomal RNA is filed under the name Staphylococcus aureus 08BA02176. RNAcentral's name for it is "bacterial SSU rRNA". It matches the Rfam family "Bacterial small subunit ribosomal RNA". Lineage: Bacteria; Bacillati; Bacillota; Bacilli; Caryophanales; Staphylococcaceae. The record is from RNAcentral.
AGAGUUUGAUCCUGGCUCAGGAUGAACGCUGGCGGCGUGCCUAAUACAUGCAAGUCGAGCGAACGGACGAGAAGCUUGCUUCUCUGAUGUUAGCGGCGGACGGGUGAGUAACACGUGGAUAACCUACCUAUAAGACUGGGAUAACUUCGGGAAACCGGAGCUAAUACCGGAUAAUAUUUUGAACCGCAUGGUUCAAAAGUGAAAGACGGUCUUGCUGUCACUUAUAGAUGGAUCCGCGCUGCAUUAGCUAGUUGGUAAGGUAACGGCUUACCAAGGCAACGAUGCAUAGCCGACCUGAGAGGGUGAUCGGCCACACUGGAACUGAGACACGGUCCAGACUCCUACGGGAGGCAGCAGUAGGGAAUCUUCCGCAAUGGGCGAAAGCCUGACGGAGCAACGCCGCGUGAGUGAUGAAGGUCUUCGGAUCGUAAAACUCUGUUAUUAGGGAAGAACAUAUGUGUAAGUAACUGUGCACAUCUUGACGGUACCUAAUCAGAAAGCCACGGCUAACUACGUGCCAGCAGCCGCGGUAAUACGUAGGUGGCAAGCGUUAUCCGGAAUUAUUGGGCGUAAAGCGCGCGUAGGCGGUUUUUUAAGUCUGAUGUGAAAGCCCACGGCUCAACCGUGGAGGGUCAUUGGAAACUGGAAAACUUGAGUGCAGAAGAGGAAAGUGGAAUUCCAUGUGUAGCGGUGAAAUGCGCAGAGAUAUGGAGGAACACCAGUGGCGAAGGCGACUUUCUGGUCUGUAACUGACGCUGAUGUGCGAAAGCGUGGGGAUCAAACAGGAUUAGAUACCCUGGUAGUCCACGCCGUAAACGAUGAGUGCUAAGUGUUAGGGGGUUUCCGCCCCUUAGUGCUGCAGCUAACGCAUUAAGCACUCCGCCUGGGGAGUACGACCGCAAGGUUGAAACUCAAAGGAAUUGACGGGGACCCGCACAAGCGGUGGAGCAUGUGGUUUAAUUCGAAGCAACGCGAAGAACCUUACCAAAUCUUGACAUCCUUUGACAACUCUAGAGAUAGAGCCUUCCCCUUCGGGGGACAAAGUGACAGGUGGUGCAUGGUUGUCGUCAGCUCGUGUCGUGAGAUGUUGGGUUAAGUCCCGCAACGAGCGCAACCCUUAAGCUUAGUUGCCAUCAUUAAGUUGGGCACUCUAAGUUGACUGCCGGUGACAAACCGGAGGGAAAGUGGGGAUGACGUCAAAUCAUCAUGCCCCUUAUGAUUUGGGCUACACACGUGCUACAAUGGACAAUACAAAGGGCAGCGAAACGUGACAAACUGGAGGAAGGUGGGGAUGACGUCAAAUCAUCAUGCCCCUUAUGAUUUGGGCUACACACGUGCUACAAUGGACAAUACAAAGGGCAGCGAAACCGCGAGGUCAAGCAAAUCCCAUAAAGUUGUUCUCAGUUCGGAUUGUAGUCUGCAACUCGACUACAUGAAGCUGGAAUCGCUAGUAAUCGUAGAUCAGCAUGCUACGGUGAAUACGUUCCCGGGUCUUGUACACACCGCCCGUCACACCACGAGAGUUUGUAACACCCGAAGCCGGUGGAGUAACCUUUUAGGAGCUAGCCGUCGAAGGUGGGACAAAUGAUUGGGGUGAAGUCGUAACAAGGUAGCCGUAUCGGAAGGUGCGGCUGGAUCACCU